UCAACUUGCCUCCUUCUCAGCUUUUAAUGUUUUUUUAAUGGAGUCCAGUUUUCCGCCUAAGUUAUGGCUAGCCUUCUGACAAACCAUCAGACACCUAAGCAACCGGAAUGGAGGUGUCCAGAUGUGACAUGGUGUGGGGAUGCAAAUUCAUCUAGGACAGUGGUAUUUCUGUGAUAAAGAAAGAAGUCUAUGUUCUUGAAAGUCAGCAAUCUAUACAACUUGGAAGACAUCAGCAGAACAUUUGGUAAUUAAAUACGCCCUCAACUGAGAAAUAAUGCCUGGAGUUGUCCUGCUGGGGUUUCAAGAGGACAGUGGAUGGUGUAUGGAUGAUGGCAAUGACUAGAUUGUGAACCACAUGUGGAAAAGCCAUAAUCCAUGGCUUUGAUGUCAAGAAGCCACAGCUCACCAAUCAAAUGAUAUCAGCAUGAUGGAAAAAAAGGAUGAGAGAAGGAAGACCCUGGAACAAGGGAGAAGGGAAGAAGAAGGAUGGAGAUCAGGAACAUGGCCAACCUGGAUUCUCAUUUGUAACUAGGUAGUAAGGGCUUGCCUUCAGAAGCGUGCAUGUCAUAUUUAACUGGUGCCUUCCUAUAACAUCUUGACUUAAUAAAGAGACUAGCAAAAGGAAAAGAGAAGAAAAAUGAAAGAAAAAAAUCCGCAGCAAGACAAUAAAAAGUUUCCUCUUCACACCCACCGCUGUGGGGGUUUUUCCUUUGUGCCUCACGGCUUACCCCACUGAAAAGCAUCAAUUUUUGCUUUUAUGCUGGAAAUGUCCAAAAAACAUUUGAAGCUUCCCAGCCACCCCUUGGGGGUGAGAACGUUUCAUGGUGUGUCUCCAGGGAAGGCUAGGGGGCCAGGGUCGGGUAGAGACGAGGCUUUCUCCCCUUCACAGAGGAACAAAGGACAGAACCUCAGAGUUCUUGACCCAACGUGUGACCUUGGGCCCAAGGCAAAACAUUUUAUCUCUGGGUCCUAGUGACAUAAGCUCUCUGGGCUCUGUGAUUGUGCUCUAGGAUGUGACCAAAAACCUUUGAUGGAAUUACUGCCUCCCCUCUCUCUCUCUCUCUGCCCGGACAUUUAUUAUUCUGUAUAUUUUCGAGAGCUGUGGGAAACUUUCAUAACCAAAGCCUAAGCCAGGCGAAAACUUGUUCUAUUUGGAAUUUGUAAUGAAGUCAAAACAUGGCCUGGAUUUUCUGAAAGGCUCCUUUGGCUGCCUGUGACAGCCCCAGGGCACAAUCAGACGGGGAUGGAGCAGGCCUGGGAGCACAUUUCGUUACCAAGAAUAGGACACAACAAUAUUUGCCUCCCAAACACCACGGCUGCUAUUUACCUUCUCAGCUGGAAGAAGUGAGAGAUAAAUGCAGAUUUCACAUAAAGCGCAAAUACCAAUUCUUUCAUUUCUAAUUUGGGGGAUUUCCCCCCCCCACCCCCCGAGCUCCCUCUAAACAAAAGGUUAGGGAGAGUUUUUAGCAUAUUUGAUUUCCUGACCUAAGGGAAGAAAUUCUUUAUUUCAGAACUUUUGACCCCCAAAGAGCUCUUACUUUUGCCUGAAAGCCUGAAUAAAAAUGGUUAGACAUGUGAAGCGA
This is a long non-coding RNA of Cervus elaphus (red deer), 1583 nucleotides long. RefSeq lists it as uncharacterized. The record is from RefSeq and is a predicted model, not a curated record. NCBI's taxonomy places the organism in Eukaryota, Metazoa, Chordata, Mammalia, Artiodactyla, Cervidae. The transcript has 4 exons.